This 19191-nucleotide long non-coding RNA is filed under the name Malus domestica (apple). Its description in RNAcentral is "long non-coding RNA (MDOM_LNC002225)". Lineage: Eukaryota; Viridiplantae; Streptophyta; Magnoliopsida; Rosales; Rosaceae. The record is from RNAcentral.
UUUACAGAGAGCCCCAACAAUGGCUACCAGCACCACACCCUCGUCCCUCAUGCUAACGUACGCCUCCUCCUACGUGCACCCACAAGACCUCACUCCCUCCCUCGUCUCCUUCCAGCCAGAGCCCCUCUUCAAAACCCUCUGCCUUUGCCCGCUGGCUCUGAGGCCUCGCGAGAUAAAACCAAGCAAAUGUGCCAAUUCCGAGCCUCAACGAGUGCCCGCGGCGGCUCUGACGGCGGAGGCAGAGGUAUCUGAGGAUGUGGAUGAGAACGAAGAAGUGAAAGGAGGUGAUGGGUCUGUUGCUGUUGCUGUUUCUUCAAAGCCCAAGAAAGGGAAGGCUGCAUUGCUUUUGAAGAGAGACAGAGUGAGUAUUUUUCUGGUUUUCUGCUUCAAGUUCCGAUUCUUCAUUGUUUUGGGGUGAAAUUUGAUUUUUUGGGUUAUCUCGUUGGUGGGUUUUGCUUGCUUUCGGUUUGGAAUACGGUUUUGGGAUUAAAAUUCAUGUGUUGUUCUUACAUUUAGUUUCUAUUCUGAUGAACAGCGGUUAAUUUAGCGAAUAAUUGUUCGUUAAGCUUCUUUAAGUUCUAAAAAUGAAGGAUUGAUAUGAGUAAUUAUCACCAUUUCGUUAUCUUGGAGAAGAGACUAGUUGUGCAACAUUUGGUAUUUACAUCCUUCAAGUUUGAUGGUUUUCGCAUGUUUUUGCAUAAUUAUAAAGGUUGAGAAUUCUCCAAAGUUGCGUUUGAUAGUUUGGUUCUAGUUUAUUUUUAUGUUUUUAGAUAUAUUCUUGCAAUGUCCUAUUUUCAAGUUCUUCCAAGAUUUCGGUAGUGAUUCAAGCGCUCGGUUGUCUUCUUCUGUAAAUGUCAGACAAGGUCCAAAAGAUUCUUGGAAAUUCAGAAAUUGAGGGAAACCAAAAAAGAGUAUGCGCUGCAGCCUGCCAUUGCUUUACUGAAAGAAAUGACAAAUACGAAAUUUGUAGAAACUGCUGAAGCCCAUUUCCGCCUCAACAUUGAUCCAAAAUAUAAUGACCAGCAGCUAAGAGCAACUGUGAGUUUUCUAAUCUUGUUGGUCAGAUGUAUGUUUAGUUAUCAAUGCUUAACACUAUAUUAUAUCCUUUCACUUAUUGUGGAAUUCUUCUACUAGGUAAACCUGCCCCAAGGGAACUGGACAGACUCAAAGUGGCUGUUCUUACUCAAGGUAGUUACGAUUCUCAAUUUCUCACCUCUGCACUACUGUCCCUGGUGGAGAAAGAGUAAUUAUAUCUCGCAUUCAGUAUGAGCUAAGGAGAUGUAUAAAGUAAUCCACGUAUUUGAACCUAGUGGAUACAAGUUGAAGAUUUCAACCUAGAGAAUAAAAAGUACAGGCGCAUAGUAGUACCGGAGCAUAACUAUGCGGGCAAUUUCUGCAUUAGCAUGUAUUAGGUAGGUGUCCAUUAUUCUGAAAAUAUGUUAUCUGAAUUCUCUAUAGGGGUAAUUGUUUUGGCAAUUAAGCGUAUAUGGCAAAAACAAGUAACAACCUUAUUGAGUGGUGUUUUGUGCUCUUUAUGCUACUACCUUGGUUGAUAAGAACAGAAGAAAUACUUUCUUGGCUGAAUCUAUGCAUCUCUAAGUGUUUUUUUAUUUUCUGCCACGGGGACAUUUUGCAAAUGAAUUAGUUGGAGGGUUUAGUAUAGUAUUCUCAUUUCUUCCAUGAAGUGGCCUUGAAAUGAUUGAUGAGACAUUGUUCCUCUACUCUUGAUGAAUUUUCUGUACCUGCCAAUUUCUAGUUAGUGUAUCAUACUCCUUUUGAACUUCAAAUUGGAUUGGAUCAUUACCAUUUCUCUUGUAUGUAGUCUUAAUAGUAUUUCAUGUAAGGUAUAGUCACUUUCUUCUCUGAGUUUAAAUUUUCCUAUACUUUCUUCUUCCUGAUGAAAAGACGAUCUCUAAGUCAUUUGAGUCCAAAGGAGGUAUAUAUUUUAGUAAUUAUAAGGUUUUCUUAACCUUUCUUAAGAAUAAGUAAAAGGUUUGAUAUGCGAUAUGGUUUACCUAAUCUAUAAGAUUUCUUGUAGUUCAAAACACAUGCAAUCAGAUUGCAUAUAAAAAGUGUGGAUUUGAAAUUGUUAAGGAUUGUAUCCUCCCAAGUGAUGUCCGGUAUCCUUAUUAAUUUGCUGCUAUCGAUAUAUAGAGUGGAUGAACAUGAUUUUCAAACAAUUUGGACUUGUCUAACCAACUUUAAGUAACGAAGUCUGAGUCAAGAGGAAAGUUUCAUUCAAACAAUCUGUAUCUGCAGCUAUUGAAGUCAAUGAUAGUGUAUUGUCCCAACUUAUAUGGGGCUUGGAACCUAAUCGAUCCUGAACUUCUAUUGUUCAAGUAUUUGUGUUUUUGUAACUUUAAAAAUGGAACAAGCCAGCAGUUAUUUCCGUUAACAAUCACGACCUAAUUGAUCCUGAACUUCUAUUGUUUAUUUGAUUAUCCGCAGAGAACAUUUUAUUCUUUGAAAAAGUUGCAUGCUAAGAAGAGGAAGAUUGUUGAUAGAAGAGCCUCUAAGAGUCGCAUGAUAAGGUAUCAAUAGAUUCUUCAGUUCCCUAUUUGAAAUUGCUGUGAUUUUGUUUUGGAAUAUCUUGGAGCACUGUUGAGCAAACUAGACCAAAUUGUUGAAGGCUUAUUGCAUUAUGCGUUUGCAGGUACAAUGUUUAUGAGAACACAUUAAAUUUCAUGGCUCCAAAGACCAUGGCCGUUUCUCCUAUGCUUCCUGAGCUCAAUAAUUUGUUCGGGUUGAAUAUGCAGAAACCAGCUUCCGUAGUGUAGUAGCGAUGCAAGGCUGAAUGAGCUGUAUAGUCCUUAGAUCUCAGGCUAAGAAAUUGUCUGCUUUUAAUUUAUUUGAUAUAUUAUUCUAAUAUUUGUUGUACUAAUAUUUAUGCAAUUUACACAUUUUUUCAAUGGGAGCCGAGCAUGAUUUUGUUGUAAAUGACAGUUAAUAUCUGUAAAUUUGACAUUUAUAAGCACAUAUGCUGUUUUUGCUUUCCCCGGUGCCGAAAUGUUUUCCACCAAUUCGAAAAAUUGAUUCUUGCCCGGUAUUGCGUAUGUCAAAGUCCUUUCCUUAUGUGUACAAUCAAUUUUUUUCUUCCAGUUAUUUACUGCUAGUAUACAUACAACCAUCUGUUUAUUUUCUCUGGUACGAGAUUUUAUGCAAUCAGUGGCAGGAAAGAAAAAUUCUGAAGUAUCGAUAAUGUUGGAUGUAUUUUAUGCUAUAUUUAUGCAAUAUUUGAUGAUGUUGAACACAUUUGAACUUCGAUAUUUUGAAGGCAGAAAACGUCUUGAAAGCAAGGAGGGAAUCCAAAGAUAUGUCAGUAUCAAGUAAAAUUACAAACUCAUGGAUGGCUUGUGGACUAUUGUCGCUUCUUUUUCUGAGAGAUGCAUGGCUUGUGGACUAUUGUCGCUUCUUUUUCUGACAGAUGGAGGACCAAACUACAAGAGCAAGCGUGAAAAAUAAGCCGGCAGCUGUGAGGAGCAGCUUCCAGCCUCCGAGGGUGCAGUUGUUGCUGGCAGCCCUCAUCCUUACAAUUGUGUAAUCAGGUUCACCCUCUUGCCCUUCUUCUUUGCCUGAAAAAUAUACAAAUAACAUAAAAUUUAUGUUUUUGAAUUGAAUACAGAUGGGCUUGGAAGUGUUUGGAUGGAGUGUAAUUCAUUGCAAUAAAACACAGCAUACCUGUGUCUUCUUCAUCAGUGUCCAUGAUGAGGCGAUUAAGCAUUCCUUGUUUACGGGAAUCAAAAUUUUUUUCAGCAUAUUCUUUAGAGAAACCAAGGAUGUAUAUUCCUGGUUUAUGCUCCCACAUCGACAAAUCUCCACCGAUGACAAAUGGAUAAUGAGGAUCUGAUUUGGUAUUAUGUUGAGUACUUAUCAUCAUAUUAUUCUGGUGCUCUUGCACAAGCUCGACACCAAACUCCUUUACCCGAUACAGCUCAGAAAAUCCGGCCAUUACCGAAACAACCACUUGAUCUCCACAUUGUAAUAUUGUUUCACUCUCCAUCCUCCAAUGGCUUAACCAUAUCAUAUCUUCACUAUCUCCUGGAAUUCCAAAGAACAGUGGGGCAUAGAUCCACUUCAGACCCUUGCUCUUGUUACUCACUUUAGUCAUUAUUGGACGAUUCAUACUAUAAUGGUGAUUAUUAGAAUUCUCUUUGGUUGCAUAGGUAGCAAAGAUGUUCAAGCCUCGGAUUCUGUGAGUAGCAGGGAGUAAAGGGACCAUAAAAGAUAUAGAAGACUUGGUACUUUUAUAGCUGAACUGGCGUGGAACCUCAUUCCCAACAAAAAAUGUGCUAAAUAUACCAAAUUGAUACAGUCCCUAUGCAUUUUCCAUGAUCAUCACAACAUUAGUAAGUCAUUUACUUCCCAUUAUAAAUAUAUAUGACUUAUGAGAGAGAGAGAGAGAGAGAGAGAGAGAGAGAGAGAGAGGGGUGCGCACCUGGACGGGAUUCCAGUUACCCUGAUAUGGCCUUGAACUUUCGAAUGGAGGGAGGUUCAUUCUAAUGGCUGGCAUGGAUCCUAUGUUGAACAAGCUCAAAAGUUUGAUCAUUUCCACAUCAACUCUAUCAAUAGGCUCUAUCUUGUACCAGCACUCCCACUCAACUAGAUUGCAGUUGUCCCACAAAGAAACAUUUUCUUGAAACCCGGAUUGAUAUGUUAUUUUUUUUAAUGAUAUGCAUCCGUUUAAAUUCAUCACUGCUAAAUCCAUCGCUUUGUGUACUUUCGGUAACCCCACAAGCGAUUCGAGCUUCGUACAACCACAGAAAUUGAGAUGAUUGAGCUUCAUCAAACCUUUGAUGAAAACUGGCAGAGUACAAAUUGGAUUCUCAUUUAAAUAUAGUCUUUGUAUUGAGGAUAGACUACUUAAAUCCCCACGAAAUGCAUCAUCAGAAAGAUUGCAGCUACUGAGAUUCAACUCUACCAAAGAGCAUGGAAAAUAACUCAAGAUACUUGAACUUGUUUCUGGCCAUACAUCACGUAUUGGAAUUCCAUCGAUUUUAAGCACUUUCAGAGACUCCAUCCUCCGCAUCAUCUCGAAUGGAAACUCAUCAAGAUUUGAGCAACCAGAUAAAAUGAGUGUUUCAAGUGAUUUAAGCAUACACAUGCUCUUCGGAAGCAUCCUAAGAUUCUUGCAAUUCUUCAUAUUCAAGUACACGAGUCUCUCCAGGUUUCCAAUGGAUUCAUGAACAACAAUCAGGCUUGUGCAAUCUACAAGAAUCAAUUCUUCUAGACUGGGGCAUUGUGAGAAGUCCAUGAUUUCAGUGAGGCCAUGAGAAUGGCUCACAUCAAGGAUCUUCAACGAUGGAAGAAACUGUGGAAAAUAAAAACAAACAAAGAAAAAUUUAUUUGUGUAGGAGUUAAAGAAUUAAAACCUAAAGAAAGAAGGAAAAAGAAAUUGAUAAGCGUACUUUUGUUCCUUUGAAGACUUGUCUCAAGCUGCUAUAUUGCAUUUCAAGAAAUACCACUUUCUCCAAAGAAAAAUCUAUAGGUAUAGAAUCCAAAGGAAAUUGAAGCCAACAUAACCAUCUUAAUCCUGUAGGGAAAUCUGCAUAACAUCCAUCCAGUUGUACAUGACUAAGAUGCAGUAGUUGUAAAUUGCGCAUCCUUUCAAAUGCAUUGGUUUCCAAGACUGUCUCAUUUGUGUUUAUUGAACUGUUUGCAGGGUGCAUAUGCAUAUUCAGGACAAGACCUUGGAUUUUUUCUGUACCCUAAAAGAUAAAAAGGAAACAUUAAUAUGGAUAAUUUUCACAAGAAAUACAUAUAUAGACAUCAAAGGCAUGUUUCUUACAUUCUUUUCCUUCAAUACUUCGAAAGAAUCCUUGUAGCACCAUAGUCUACUGCGUUUUCCAGGCUCUUCUGAUUCGUGGCGAACAAUUUCUCUUCCCAUGUCACGAAUCAUGUCAUGCAUUUGCACGUUGUUGCAUCCAUCAAUUGUCACCAAGCAUCUAUCAAGCAGAUUUUGAAUCCCAACGAUUGUAUAGAAAUCACAUCCAUUGAGUCUUCUAACAAUGUAGCUUUUGUUCCUUCCUAUUAGAAAACAAGCAAUGUGGAGGAAUAAUUUCCGGUCAUGGUCAUCUUGUAAACUGUCAUAGCUUAUUCUUAGUUUAUUCAUGAUUUCACCAUUAGGGAAAACUUGUAGCUUCUCCAAUGCACUUUCCCAUACAUCUAUACUUUCCCCUGAUAAAGAAGAGCCCAAAACUUUUAGAGCUAGUGGAAGUCCGUCGCAGUAGUGUACAACCUUUUCUGAAUAUUCCAUGUAACCUCUAAGGGGAUGGUCCUGGCGAAAAGCAUGCCAACUGAAAAGCUCUAAUGACUCAUUGUCAUGCAAAGUUCCAACUUUGUGCACCUUCGUAACUUGAUGCGCCUUUAGCAACCUUUCGCCUAGUUGUUAUAAGUAUCUUACUUCCCGGAUAAAACCGAUCUUUCAUCUUUAGCACUGCAUCUAAUUGGUCCAUAUGGUCCACAUCAUCAAGAACAAGAAGCACUCUUCUAGAGCUUAUGGCACUUUCAAUCUUUAUUAAUCCCUCACUAACACCAUGUAUUUUCACUUCUCUGCCGUUCAAAAUAUCAAAAAGAAGUUGCUUUUGUAUUUGAACUAAGCCAUUUGGUCGAUCUGCUGUUUCUCUGAUAUUUUCAAUGAAACUACUUCCUUUAAAGCUUCUAAAGUUUGAAUUGUAAACAUGUUUUGCAAUGGUUGUCUUCCCUAUUCCAGACAUGCCAUACACAACCAGUAUACCGACAUCGGUUGAUCCAUCUUGUAACCACAAAUUGAUCUCUUCGACUUGAGAUUCGAUUCCAAUCAAUUUUGGUUCAACACUCAAUGAUGUACGACUUAACUUGUCUCCAACCACUUUAACAAUUUUUUCGAUAAACUUUGAUUCAUACCUAAGCAUUUACAAACAAAAUGACAAAUAAAUCAAACAUGUCAUGUCUCACAGAAGUAUUGAAUGAAUGAAUAAUGAAUUGGGGAAUUUAGAUAAUUAAUAAAUCAAACAAAUGUUGAUGGCCUUUACUUAAAAAAGAACAAAAGGAAUACAGCACAGAAAGUACAUACAUGCCAAUUUUUUCCACACCUGCUUUUGAAAAAUUUUAAGCAACUGCAAACCAGUAGACUAACAUGGAAAAUGACUAAUCCUUAAGUUGAGUCAAGUGUGAUUUCUUUCAGUUGACCUAAAUUAGGAUUAUUAUUUACUGAGGUUGAAUAAAAAAUAUAUAAAAAUCAAGGUCCCUACGGAUCAUGUUAUCAAAUUAACUGAAGAAAGAGGAGAAAUGGAGAAAAUGAAAGCUACCCAUCUGCUUGAUUUUGUAAGACCAUGCCUGCUAGAUCUGCAACCUCUGCAACUGCCUCCCUCCAUCCCUUCACCUUUUCCGGCGACUGAGUUUUCUGGUGUCUAGCAAUUGCUUUUCCAAUACUUCCCGUCUGCUUCCUCAUGUCGGACGGAUCGACAUGGUAGAAGACUGGUAAAACUACAUGGUCCGAGGUAGUCCUCUUGCGUUCAAGGAUCAACACAAGCUCAUCAAGGCACCAUUUGGAUGACGCGUAAUCUUUCGAAAACACGACAACAGAAGUUCGUGACUGCCAGAUCGCUUUCUGCAGUCCUGGCUUUAUAUCUUCUCCUCUCUCAAGUUCAUCGUCGUCUCGGAACGUGUUAAAUCCUGCGUUGUUCAAGGCUGUGUAGAGGUGGUCGGUAAAAGUCUUGCGAGUGUCGCCUCUGAAGCUCAAGAACACGUCGUGGCGAUAACCCCGAAAAGUUUUGGAAUCAGAAGAGGUUCCUUCAGAUGUUCUCACAAGAGCCAUUGAUGUGGAUCGAUGGACAAACAGCUCUUUGCAAGCCGCAUUGCAAUUGUCUGUGUGCAGGGUAAAUAUUUAAUUGGGUCAUGCCUAUCUUGUUCUUCUUUUUUUUUCUGUCUUAUGGGUCAUUCCCAUCUACUCCCAGGAAAAUUUACAAACAAUUAUAAAAUGGAUCGUUCACAUGUAUUGACCCAAAAAGCAUUUCUUUUAAGUCAUGGUCGGCCACUAGUGGCAAAGAUGAAAAGAAAAAGGAAAGAGCACUUCUUGUUUUAUAUGUGAUUUUAUAAAUUAUAAUUUAUAUUAAUCGUCGUCAAGAUCUAAAAUAUCAAUAAUAUCGGUAGUUCAAAAAUACAAAAAUUUUGAUGAAAAUAUUAGGAUAUUAUCGAUAUCGAUAAAAAUUGAAUAAAAACCACGGAAAUUGUAAGAAAAACUUGGAAAUUUUUAUUGAAACUUUGCAGGAUGUUUAUUUAGUCAAUUAUAUAUUAGUUUAUCACAAAAAAUUGGAAGGAAAUGCAUUGCAAGAUGAAUUUAACUGAUUUAAGUUGAUUAUAUAGCGAGUUGGCAAACAGUGUGAGUGUAGAAAAUAUGUAGUAAUUAAUGAAAGAAGUUUAAACACACCAUAAUCAUUUAUAUAUAAUGAAUUAGUACAAUAUUUUACACUUUAUACAUUGCAUGGUAAGAUAUAUGAGUGACUUAGUACCACAUAGAGUUCCUAUCAAGGUCUAAAAUAUUGAUGAUAUCAGAAAUAUCAGUAGUCCAAAAACACGGAAAUUUCGAUGAAAAUAUCGGGAUAAUAUCGAUAUUUUAGACCUCUCGUCACUCACUUUUUUGUGAUAAAAUACGGCACAUUUUGAUAGGUGCUUCAUACCUAUUUCUCGUCCUUGAAAUGUUGAAGUCAUUUCUACCGAUCGUCAAUCCACCAACUAGUGUUACCAAUUGUCCUAAAGAUGAUGCGGUUAUAAGAUAAAAAUUAAAGUAGAACAUCAUAAUAAUGUGACAGUAAUGUUUAGUUACUUUCAUAAGGUAAGUUGGGAAUAACUUGAAUCUGGGUACAUGUAUGGUUGAACUUGAGGUGGUUGAUCCAAUUGUUGUGCAGUUAUAUGUUUUUUGUAUAGUUAUAGGCUGGACCAAAAGAGAACACUUGCGGCAGUGGUUGGUCCAUAAUUCAAAUCGGUCCAUAAUUCAAAUCUUAGGGUCCCAGUGUUAGGUCCAAGUAGAUUUUGUAAAUAUUUUUCUUCUGUUACUGUUUGAGCUACACGUUAAGGAUCUUGUUGGAACAUAUAUUGCACAUAUAUACAAAAUAUAUAAAGUGGCGAGAAAUGUAUAUAAGACACAAUAUUUACGAGGUUCGACAAAUUAUGCCAACGUCCUUGGAGUAACAAUACCAGUUUCUCAUUACAUGAAAUAUAAUUUACAAUGUAAGAAACAAGGGAAAUUGGGAGCAAUUUGCUCUUUGGUGUAUUUGUAUAUUUCCUGAAUGUUUGGCCAUGUGUUUUUUUUUUUUUCCUUCUUUUUUGGUCUCUCACUCCCAUUUGUAAGAAAAUGGGAAACACUUAGUAGACAUAAUGAUGGAGGUGACUUUCUUUUCCUUUUCUUUUCUUUUCUUUUCCCCUCUUUUCCUCUACUCUUCGAAGCUUCCCUCUCCUUUUCCCUUUCUCAUUUUCUUCUUUUCCCUUCUCCUUUUUCUCUAUUCUCGAAAUUUCCUCUCUUCUUUUCCCUUCUUCUUUUCUCUAUUCUCAGGAAAUUUUCUUCUGUUAUUGUUUGAGCUAUACGUUAAGGAUCUUGUUGGAACAUAUUUUGCACAUAUAUACUAAAUAUAUAAAGUGGCGAAAAAUGUAUAUAAAACGCAAUAUUUACGAGGUUCGACAAAUUGUGACAAUGUCCUCGAAGUAGCAAUACUGGUUUCUCAUUACAUGAAAUAUAAUUUACAAUGUGAGAAACAAGAGAAAUUGGGAGCAAUUUGCUCUUUUGGCAUAUUUGUAUAUUUUCUAAAUGUUUGGCCAUGUGCUUUUUUUUUCUUUUUCUUCAUUUUUCGGUCUCCCACUCCCAUUUGUAAGAAAAUGCGAAACAGUUAGUAGACAUAAUGAUGGAUGUGACUUUCCUUUUCUUUUCAUUUUCCCUCUUUUCCUCUACUCUUCGAAGCUUCCCUCUUCUUUUCCCUUCUCCUUUUUCUCUAUUCUCCGAAAUUUCCUCUAUUCUUUUUCCUUCUUCUUUUCUCUAUUCUCCGGAAUUUUCUCUCAUUCCCAACCCUUCCUUUUCUACAUUUCCUUUGUACUUUUCCUUCUCUCUACUCUCAGGAGUUUCCUUCUCAUUUUUCCCUCUCCUUUGACGCCAUUGUAUUAGGGCUAAGAUGUGGACAUGUUAUGUUCUGGAGAGGUGAAAAUUAUGGUCCCACAAAUCUAUUUUUCAAACAUUUAGCUUUUGAUCUAUUAGACCAACUCCAGCCCUUGGACCCAAACUCAAUUAUUUGGGUUUAAACGCAAAAUUUGCCACCUAAAGCUACGACUCAUACCUAUAAAUUUUCAAUGGUCCAAAUCAAACUCCCUUUUUUGGUCCAUCCUUUGAAAUUGAUCGAACAAUCCAUAUUUGUUUUUGUCACAUCCAACGGUAAAAACGACCUAAGGCUGAGAUUUAAAUUCAACGGUCAAAAUAAUAUGCAUAUUUGGUAUUGUGUAUUGAAGUUUGGUUGGUUGAUGUGUACAUUGAAGUUUGGUCGGUUAGUGGUUGAUUGGUGUAGUUUGUUUUGUUUUGGAAAUUUUGUCGGAAUUUAAAUUUUUUUAGGUUAAAACAUUCUUAAAACUAAAUUAAGAUAAUAUAACUCAAAAUUUCUCUAAAACAAUUAAUACAUUUUAAGUUCUGAAACUUAGGUUUGGAGGGUUGGGUGAUGUUCAUUGUUUACAAAGCUAAAUUCUGUCUUCUAGUUGACCCAAAUAUUUGAAUAUGGGUUCAAGGGUUGGAGGAGUUAGUCAUAACACUUAUCUUUUUAGUUUUGGCAGAGAUCUUCAAUUUUAAUUUGGGAUCACAUGUUUGUUAAUAUUAAAAGAAUAAAAUACUAUUUCAAACUGGGUCAAAUACUAGGAGAGGACAUGCAAAAAUGUACGGGGGUUGAUAUAGGAGACUACAUAAUGUGAAGAUAUAGGGGGUUGAAUGUAUCAGUAAAAAAAAAACCAAAAAAAACAAAAAAAAACCAAAAAAACAAAAAAAGAGGAAACCUAUACUCUCAAAUUUGUAUUGACGUGGAGCUGAUCAGUAAAUUGGAUCAAAAAGUUGGACUUGGAUUCUCUGCCCUCCCAAUUCGGUGUCCUCCUGUUUUGUGUGAUCACGGUUAAUUCAUGCUAACAUUUUAUAUUGUUUUUUAUAAAAAUAAUAAGACAAAAAAAAUAGUAAUAUAAAAUAUUGACGUGGCUUAACCGUGACCACACAAACAGGAGGGCACGGGGAGGGCACCGAAAUGGGAGGGCAGAGAAUCCAAGUCCCAAAAAGUUUCCAAUUUCACAUGUUUGCUAAAUGGAAUUAUAUUAAAGUAUUACAGUAGGAAAGCCUCAUUCAUUGUCUUAAGCAUGAAUUUGCAGAAGGACAACUUUGGUCCUAAUUCUUAUUUACAGUGUAAGGAGUUAUAGACAAAGAUGCAUAAGGUUCGAACAACUCUUUUUCUUUUCGAACAACUCCUUUUCUUUUAAUAUCAUUUACAUAAAAAAAAGCUAAUGAAAAGGAUCUCAAUUUUUUAUUUAUUUAUCCAAAAACACUUAAUGAAUUUUGUUUGAUUAAAAUGACAAAAGGCGGUGCCAGUACUGUAAAUAAGUUAAAAUUUAGGCGCAGUGACAAUAUUACAAUUAAGUGAAAAUUGUUUCUUCAUAAAACCGACAACUAUUUCUUCAAAAAAUUUAUUAAAAAAUCAUUAAUGUGUUUUUCAUUGAAAAUUUUGUUGUGUGAAACAUUUUCCAUUAAAACUCCCUUACAUAAAAUCAAACAGUACUUGAUCAAAAGAAAAAAAAAAAGAAAGAGUAUGCAAGGAAAAAGCUCUAGCAAGACAAAUGCAUGCAGAUAUGGUUGCAUAUGCUCAAAUCAAAAUCAAAUUGCUGCUUAAAUUUCCGCUCUGUUUAUCUUGUAUAUAGAAUACAAUGAUACGUUGGGUGGUCAUGCACGUGUUGUAGUUUUGGAUUUCAAGAAUUUGGAUGUUGGAAACAAGCUCGAACUUAUGUUGAACUUGGCCACUUUACAAGAAAACCCCAUUUGCUUUUGCAAACCCUAUUUUCUGGUAUCUCACACCCCCACAAUUUCUGAAAGCAUUUCCCUUGUAAUUCUUAUGUCUCUCGUACAAAGAAUAAAACCAUAAAGUUCUAUUUAUAUGUAUGGGCUUUAGUUACAAGAAAGGAAUCCCAUGAAAACCCCAAAACCUACUCUAAACAGACUUUGAAAACGCUGAACAACAAACAAGAAACACGCCAAACCAAUCGAUCAGUUGGCCAGACCGAUCGAGUUGGCCAAACCGAUCGAUUGCCGAGAAUUAACAAUUCCUCUUGUUGUGCUAUUGCUAUGAGCUGCUUGUUUUUGCUCUUACUGAUCGCUCGCUUGAUUGAUAGCACAUUCUAAAAACUUCAUCACAUUUUAGAUAGUGGAGCAACUCACAAUAUUACCUUAUCUAAUAAUUUGAAUCUUUUCCAGAGACGAGUAUUUCUAGAUUGGUAAUAGAGAUAAAGUACACUCACUUAUGAGCCAAGCUUUAUCGAACAAGUCGAACUAUCUCAUUAAAGAUAUGAGCUGUUCAUUAGCUUUAUCAGCUUAACAUACCCAAGCUCCAUAGGUACUCAUAUUUUUAACUAGUCUAGUAUUUCUUUUGAGCUCAACCCUUUCACUUAAAAACUGAGCAUAAACGAAUUACUUCGAGCAUAUUUACAAUCCCUACGUAUGGUGCUCACCUUAUGAAAAAUAUAUGGUUUUGUGUUUAAUGCAAAAAAGACUAACAUAAAACAAGCAUGCUAGGUCAAUUGCAUUCCGAAUCCACAAACAAAAGACAUCAAGCCAUAGUUGAGGGAUUGGAGGGAAACCGUUAUAAAAUUGCUUGGGAUACAUGGAAUAUGUCACCCUAUUUUAGGUAAGUACGUCUUUAUUAUUUAUUUAAGAGGUGUGGAGUUCGGGCUACCAGUACAAUGAGCCAAACAUCACAAUUUAGUUUUGAAUUAACCAUUUACAUGAGUUAGAACAUAAAAUCUAUCAUUUAUAAAUGAAGAAAAAUAUCAUUAGAUUGUAAUAGUAAAUACGUUGCUCUCGUUUUUUUUUUUGAACAAAUAUUAUCUACACUAAGGCCUCGUUUGACAGUUCGGACUAUACUGAUUAUUUCAGUCGGAUAUGAUUAAUAACCAUCAGAUAGUAUCGAUUAAUUAGUCGAACGUUUGGUGCAAUAUCGGACUAAGACUGUAUUAUUUAUAUUGUAUUUGGUAUACAACAUUUCUUGAAUACAAUUUCAGCAAUAUACAUAUGAAUUUAAGCAGAACUCCAAAAAAAUUACAAAAAUUUAUGGAAAAAUCCAACAUUUAGGACCCUUGUAAAAUCCAUAAACAAAUCAACCAAAAACAAAAAUGCCAAAAAUAAAUAUUUUUAAUGGUUGGAGCCCAGAAAUUAAAUAUUUUCAAGCUUCCUUCCUUGUCUUCGUCCUUCUCGUUGAAGCCCAGAAAUCGACCAUAAUCAGGGAAAGUCAAGCUCCUUUCCUCGGCUUCGUCCUUCUCGGCAGAGCCCAGAUGCAAAUUGUUAUCCCUCUACUUGUCGGAGCCCAGCCCCUUCCUCGUCGGAGCCUAGAUAGGAAGAAUUUGAAUCAUUGUCUUCCUCCUUCAACCCAUGGAAAGUUUGAUUAAAAUUGUUGUUGUCAGAGAUCGAAGGUGAACAGAGGAGGUGGGAGGUGUGUGUGUAAAGGAGAAGGGAGGAAUAAAGAGAGAAAAAGAAGAAGACGAUGGAGACGAACCUGCUAUCCAUACGAGAGAGCGAGCAAGAGAUGCGAGAGUGGAAGGAGAGCGUUGCGAGUGGGACUUGGAUUGUCUGCCCUCCUAGUCGUGGAUGCGCUUCUAUUUUGUGCGGUCACGGUUAAACCACGUUAAUAUUUUAUAUUAAUUUUUUAAUAAGAUAAUAAGAUAAAAAAUAAUUAAAAUAUAAAAUAUUAACAUGGCUUAACCAUGAUCGCAUAAAAUAGGAGAGCAUAGAAAGGCACCACGACUAAAAGGGCAAACAAUCUUUGUCCUUGCGAGUGAGGGACAGAGUGAGCGAGAGGAUCCCACCAGACUAAUAAUACAUAGGUUUUAGACGAGAUAAAUAAUCGGGUGUGAGGGAUAUAAAAUAAGUGGGGCCAAAUUAAAUAGUCUGAUGCUUAUUUCAUAUGAAGCUCACCAAACAUCCGUUUUGUAUUAUUAAUAUUAUCCUGUGGUAUUAUAUGGUGUGUCAAACAAGGCCUAAGGGGGAGAUGGUAGAAGUAAAAAAGAAUACCAUUAGACCACAAUACUAAAUGACAAUAAGUUGAUCUCGGUGAACGUGAAAAAAAGUGUUAAUCAAAUAAGACAGACCUGGCUUAAUCAAAUAUUGGCCUAACUAGUGCGUGAAGCCCAUUUAAGGCCCAAAUGCCAGCCUGGUAUUAAGCACCCCCAAAACCCAAGCCCUCUAGCUUCUUCUCAGACCCCUCUGCUCCUCUCACAACUCUCACUGUCUUUCUUCUCAUACCCAACUUUUAUUAUUUUUGUUUAAAUAAACAUAAAUGAAGUAAUAAAUUUUGGCAUACCGGUAGAAGGAAAAUUGACAAUAUGUCAAAUUACCAAAUCAGCCAUCAAAUUUAAAUUUGAUGUUUUGAUUUUAACAUCUUCUUUGGAGAUGCUUACCUUUUGAUUUUGAAAGGACGACUUUACUCUCUUUAUUUAAUGAAAGAUUAACAAAAGUUUAGAUUUGAACUUUAAUUGCUAGCUGAGCUUACCACGAAGGUUUAAUUAACAACUUUUUCACUACAAAUGUCGCAUUGAAAGUACGAUAUCACUAGGGGUGGGUUGGAAAAAUCGAAAACUGAAAAAAAUCGGACCGAAAACCGAACCGAGACCGAAAAAAACCGAACCGAAGCUGUUGAACCGAACCGAACCGAAGCUGUCUGGUUCGGUUUCGGUUUCUGAGGUUCGGAAACCGAACCGAACCGAACUUAACCGAAGUCUUCAAAACGACGUCGUUUUAUGCUAUUUUAUUAAUUAAUAAUCCUAAUUCUAAUACGCCACCGUUUUACCGAGUGUAACCUAAACCUAGGUCCAGUCCUCCUCUCUCGGUCUCGCCUGUUUUCGCAUUCCCAAUUCGCGCAGCCCCUCCCUUCCUCCCUCCUCUCAAACUCUAUCUCUUUGCUCUCAUUCCCAGCGGCGGUGACUGAGAAUUCACCCAAAGCCAAACCUCUAAAGCCCGAGUCUGACUCUCAAAACUCUGUCUCUCAAAUUCUGUCUCUCAAAAGGUUAGUACUCUCGACUACACUCUCACGUUUAAUUUUCUGCUGUAGAUUCAAACCAAACCUCUAAACCCGAGUCUUAAACAGGUCAGAGCACUGGAAGUGACUGAGGAUUCUCUAUUAUUUCUCCCAUCAGCAAUUGGCACUGGGCGAGUUAGCACUGGAAGUGACUCAGGUGCUUAAAAAAUUCUCUCUUAUUUCUUGUUUGAAAACUUCGAUUGAAACCCAUGACCCAUCUGUUUCCCCCAAUUCAUGUCUUCAUUCAAUUUGUUUAAAAUUAGGGUUGUUGAAGACGAGAUUGAAAGAGUUCGAAAAGCGGGAAUUUCUCGGUGGAUUUAAGAACAGUGAGUUUGUGGAGAAAUUCAAGUCCAGCUUGGUAUGUUCUCUCUACCUUCAUUUCGAAAUUUGUUGCUUUCGGCUUUGAGUUUUCAUAGCAAUUGAAUUUGUUAACUUUGCAUUUUGAUUGCUACAUUUACCAAUUUGGGUUUACAGCACUAGGCCAGGUAGAGGUAGGCGUAGAUGGAUUGGGGGUUUGGGGUUGAUCUUGUAAAUUACUGUAUGAUUAGCCUGUAGUUUUAGGGUUCCUAGACUUGCUCAAACUUCCAAUUUUCAUCUGAUGUGCACUGUCUACAGAUCUUGCCAGAUUUCAAAUUAGAUUUUUGGGUCUCUUGGUUAAUCUUGAUUUUUCCUAUUUUAUUUGUUCCUUCUUUUUGGAUGUGCUAAUUCCUGGUUUUUGUUUCUUCCAUGCAAUUUUAUAUAACUACAGAAAGGAAUACCCAACGUACUAUUAGCAUUAGACUUGUGGGAAACAUGUGCUUUUAAAAUCAAAAGCAGUAACAUAACACCAAGAGACUGCAUAUUCAGUAACCAUAGAAAGAACAAAAACAAGUCAACAAAUGAAAAAAAAAACGACAAGUAUACGUUUCCAAUCUAGUAACCUGUUGAUCUUAUAAUGGGUUAUAACCUGUGACUUCUUUCUUCUACAAAAGAUGCCUCACCUCGGUAGAUCUCACACGGCAUUUCUACUCCCUGGGAAAACAAAUGUUUGAGAAAUGAAUCAGUUAACAAGCUGAAUAAGCUGCAUGCUAUCAAAUAAAUGCUAAGUUGCAUGCUUGCUUUACAUCACGUUGUUUCUUUUUUUAUUUGUAUGUAGAAAUGACAAGUGGAAGCUCAAAUAAAGGUGCUAUGUUGCCUCCUAGGCCGCCUAAGCGUUGAACUUGAGGACUUGGAAGAUUUUAUUUGUGCAAGACAUGAAGUGAUGAAACUUUGAAGGUUUAUUUGACUUGUGUGAUGUUUAUUUUAAAUUUGGACUUUUUAAAGACUUAAACUUUCAUGUUUAUUUAAGUUUGGACUUUGGAAAUUGGAAUUUGGAAGACUUGGAUUCUCAUUCUCAUCAUGGUUUUGUUGUUGUAAAUAUGUUAUUUCCCGAAGUUGGACCGUGGAUGGAGAAUGUGAGCUUUUAUAUUUCAAAUUUUUUAUUUUUUGGAGACAGAAAAAAAAAAAACAGAAAAAAAACCGAAACCGAACCGAAAUAACCGAACCGAAAAAAAACCGAAAAAAUGUGAACCGAACCGAACCGAAAUUUCGGUUCGGUUUCGGUUUUAGGAAAAAACCGAACCGGUGGGAACCGAACCCACCCCUAGAUAUCACCACAGAGACCACAAAAAAAAAAUUCAGCCAUUAAAUUUUUAGUGUCAAUAAGUUUCCUUAGAUUACUAAUACUGCUGUUCCAAAAUCGUAAACACACUUGUCAAACUUCAUUAAUAUUAUGUCUUAUUUACUGCGCUAUUGUAAUUACAAUUGCUGACGGUAACUGUGGUGUACCAUACCAUCCAUAAGGUCUAUAGCAGACAAUAACAGUCACCUCUUAUCUCGAGCAGAAAUGGAUAGAUAGCAAUUUAUCAAAAUCCUUCAUUUACAGAGAGCUCCAACAAUGGCUACAAGCACCACACCCUCGUCCCUCAUGCUAACGUACGCCUCCUCCUACGGGCACCCACAAGACAUCACUCCCUCCCUCGUCUCCUUCCAGCCCAAGCCCCUCUUCAAAACCUUCUGCCUCUGCCCGCUGGCUCUGAGGCCUCGCGAGAUAAAACCAAGCAAAUGGGCCAAUUCCGAGCCUCACCGAGUGCCCGCGGCGGCUCUGACGGCGGAGGCAGAGGUGGCUGAGGAUGUGGAUGAGAACGAAGAAGUGAAAGGAGGUGAUGGGUCUGCUGCUGUUGCUGUUUCUUCAAAGCCCAAGAAGGGGAAGGCUGCAUUGCUUUUGAAGAGAGACAGAGUGAGUCUUUUUCCGGUUUUUCUUCUGCAAGUUCGGAUUUUUCAUUGUUUUGGGGGUAAAAUUUGAUUAUUUGGGUUACCUCGUUGGUGGGUUUUGCUUAUUUUUGGUUUUGAUUGCGGUUUUGGGAUUCAAAUUUCAUGUGUUGUUCUUACAUUUAGUUUUUAGUUUGAUGAACAUCGGUUAAUUUAGCUAAUACUUGUUUGUUAUACUAAUUUAAAUUCUAAAAAUUAAGGAUUGAUUUGAGUAAUUAAGGUCAUUUCGUUAUCUUGGAGAAGAGACUAGUUCUGCAAAAUUUGAUAUUUACAUCCUUCAAGUUUGAUGGUUUUCUUAUGGUUUUGCAUAAUUAUAAAGAUGGAGAAUGCUCCGAAGUUGCAUUUGAUAAUCAUGUUCUAGUUUCUUUUUAUGUUUAUCAUUUAUGUUGUUAGAUAUAAUCCUGCAAUGUCUUAUUUUUAAGUUCUUCCAAGAUAUCGGUAGUGAUUCAAGUGCUCGGGUGUCUUCUUUUGUAAAUGUCAGACAAGGUCCAAAAGAUUCUUGGAAAUUCAGAAAUUGAGGGAAACCAAAAAAGAGUAUGCGCUGCAGCCUGCCAUUGCUUUACUGAAAGAAAUGACGAAUACGAAAUUUGUAGAAACUGCUGAAGCCCAUUUCCGCCUCAAUAUUGACCCAAAAUAUAAUGACCAACAGCUAAGAGCAACUGUGAGUUUUCUGAUCUUGUUGGUCAGAGAUAUGUUUAGUUAUCAAUGCUUAGCACUAUAUUGUAUCCUUUCAUUUAUUGUGGAAUUCUUCUACUAGGUAAACCUGCCCAAGGGAACCGGACAGACUGUUAAAGUGGCUGUUCUUACUCAAGGUAGUUACGAUUCUCAAUUUCUCACCUCUGCACUACUGUCCUUAGUGGAGAAAGAGUAAUUAUAUCUGUCAUUCAGUAUGAGCUAAGGAGAUGUAUAAAGUAAUCAACGUAUUUGAACCUAGUGGAUACAAGUUGAAGAUUUCAACCUAGAGAAUAAAAAGUACAGAAGCAUAACUAUGCAGGCAAUUUCCGCAUUAGCAUGUAUUAGGUAGGUGUCCAUUAUUCUGAAAAUAUGUUAUUUGAAUUCUCUAUAGGUAAUUGUUUUGUCAAUUAAGCGUAAAAGGCGAAAACAAGUAACACCUUUACUGAGUGGUGUUUUGUGCUCUUUAUGCUAUUACCUUGGUUGAUAAGAACAGAAGAAAUACUUUCUUGGCUGAAUCUAGGCAUCUCUAAGUGUUUUUUAUUUUCUGCCAAGGGGACAUUUUGCAAAUGAAUUAGUUGGAGGGUUUAGUAUAGUAUUCUCAUUUCUUCCAUGAACCGGUCUUGAAAUGAUUGAUGAGACGUUGUUCCUCUACUCUUGGUGAAUUUUCUGUACCUGCCAAUUUCUAGUUAGUGUAUCAUACUCCUUAUUGAACUUCAAAUUGGAUUGGAUCAUUACCAUUUCUCUUGUAUGCAGUCUUAAUAGUUUUUCAUGUAAGGUAUAGUCACUUUCUUCUCUGAGUUUAAAUUUUCCUAUACUUUCUUCUUCCUGAUAACAAGGCGAUCUCUAAGUCAUUUGAGUCCAAAGGAGGUUUAUAUAUUUUUUAGUAAUUAUAAGGUUUUUCUUAGAGGUCGCACUUGGUGCGAUGGCAAGUGCCUUCGCCCAUGAGCAGUAGGUCUCGGGU